RNAcentral lists this ribosomal RNA (516 nucleotides) under uncultured Glomeromycotina. Its description in RNAcentral is "SSU rRNA". It matches the Rfam family "Eukaryotic small subunit ribosomal RNA", at positions 569 to 1089 of the family's 1831-position model. The record is from RNAcentral. Lineage: Eukaryota; Fungi; Glomeromycota.
AGCAGCCGCGGUAAUUCCAGCUCCAAUAGCGUAUAUUAAAGUUGUUGCAGUUAAAAAGCUCGUAGUUGAAUUUCGGGGUCAGUAGGUUGGUCAUGCCUUCGGUAUGUACUGGUCUCACUGAUUCCUCCCUCUUGAAGAACCGUAAUGUCAUUAAUUUGAUGUUGCGGGGAAACAGGACUGUUACUUUGAAAAAUUGAGUGUUUAAAGCAGGCUCACGCUUGAAUACAUUAGCAUGGAAUAAUGAAAUAGGACGUUCGAUCCUAUUUUGUUGGUUUCUAGGAUUGACGUAAUGAUUAAUAGGGAUAGUUGGGGGCAUUAGUAUUCAAUUGUCAGAGGUGAAAUUCUUGGAUUUAUUGAAGACUAACUACUGCGAAAGCAUUUGCCAAGGAUGUUUUCAUUAAUCAAGAACGAAAGUUAGGGGAUCGAAGACGAUCAGAUACCGUCGUAGUCUUAACCAUAAACUAUGCCGACUAGGGAUCGGAUGAUGUUAAUUUUUAAUGACUCAUUCGGCUACCG